AUAGAUUUGAGUUUGUAAUCAUUAGUUUGGUUGGGAAUUCACAAUUUUUGUAUGCAAUAAUACACCACUGUAUCUCUCUCACGUUUUUACGUGUACAUACCCCCAUACUGUUUGAGGGGUUAGUGUUAAAAAUGUCAACGUUGCACUCACGCUUUAUGAUUUAGGUGGUAGGACUUAUCACCUAAACAUUGUUUUUUUUUUUGCAUUUUAUGUUUAUUUGGGGUUUCCACAGAGUGUUUUCCACAGCUAACAAACACCUUUGUUUCAUCACCCGUUUGUUUAAUUAUUUAAUUUGUUGUUCAAUAUUUAACUUGUCUCUUUUCCUUGUCUCCCUGUCAUCUUUCUAUCCUCAACAUUCACUCUCUGCAUUUCUAUAACUCACUCUCUGCACUGCCCCAUCAUUCACCAUCUGCACUGCCCCAUCAUUCACCGAUUGCACUGCCCCAUCAUUCACCAUCUGCACUGCCCCAUCAUUCACCAUCUGCACUGCCCCAUCAUUCACCGUCUGCACUGCCACGUCAUUCACCAUCUGCACUGCCCCAUCAUUCACCAUCUGCACUGCCCCAUCAUUCACCGUCUGCACUGCCCCGUCAUUCACCGUCUGCACUGCCCAAUCAUUCACCGAUUGCACUGCCCCAUCAUUCACUGUUUGCACUGCCCCGUCAUUCACCGUCUGCAUUGCCCCAUCAUUUACCGAUUGCACUGUCC
Molecule: non-coding RNA, 708 nt
Organism: Pelobates cultripes (western spadefoot toad)
Lineage: Eukaryota; Metazoa; Chordata; Amphibia; Anura; Pelobatidae
Source: the annotation of a GenBank genome assembly